CCUCAGCAGGCCGAUGGGCCUGCUCUGUGCGUGGUCACAGUUCCCUCUACCUUGCCGGUGCAGGGGGAGGGGGCGGCUCUGCCUCUCAGCAGGUCGCUGCUCCUCCUCUGCUGGUGGGUCGCAGGCCCGCCUACCUUGCAGGAGUGAUUGGAAGCUCUGUCCCGCCGCGGGCCGCUGGGCCUUUUCUGUCCGUGGUCACAGUUCCCCUACCUGGCAGGCGCGGGGGGUGGGGGGCGGCUCUGCCCCUCAGCAGGCCGCUGGGCCUGCUCUGUGCGUGGUCACAGUUCCCUCUACCUUGCCGGUGCAGGGGGAGGGGGCGGCUCUGCCUCUCAGCAGGUCGCUGCUCCUCUUCUGCAGGUGGGUCGCAGGCCCGCCUACCUUGCAGGAGUGAUUGGAAGCUCUGUCCCGCCGCGGGCCACUGGGCCUUUUCUGUCCGUGGUCACAGUUCCCCUACCUGGCAGGCG
This 464-nucleotide long non-coding RNA is filed under the name Marmota monax (woodchuck). Lineage: Eukaryota; Metazoa; Chordata; Mammalia; Rodentia; Sciuridae. The record is from RNAcentral.